RNAcentral lists this ribosomal RNA (228 nucleotides) under uncultured eukaryote. RNAcentral's name for it is "partial 18S ribosomal RNA". It matches the Rfam family "Eukaryotic small subunit ribosomal RNA", at positions 1208 to 1456 of the family's 1831-position model. The record is from RNAcentral.
GGAAAUCUCACCAGGCCCGGACACUGGAAGGAUUGACAGAUUGAUAGCUCUUUCUUGAUUCAGUGGGUGGUGGUGCAUGGCCGUUCUUAGUUGGUUGAGUGAUUUGUCUUGUUAAUUCCGAUAAUGAACGAGACUCUGUCCUGCUAAAUAGUGACGCGGUUCAUCGAACCGUGGGCCACUUCUUAGAGGGACUAUCGGAUUCAAACCGAUGGAAGUGUGAGGCAAUAA